Methanolobus psychrophilus R15 is the source of this 100-nucleotide non-coding RNA. The record is from Rfam. NCBI's taxonomy places the organism in Archaea, Methanobacteriati, Methanobacteriota, Methanomicrobia, Methanosarcinales, Methanosarcinaceae.
UAGUCUGAUGCCAAGAUACCUGAUGGCCAGGCUGGCCAUGAGAAGACGAUGACCACACUUCUCCCCGCUUUUGCAGGUGCUAACACCCUGUACGGUGCAG